CGUCAGCCUGAGUACGCUCUCGACUCAGUAACUGGCGUCAUCUAGAGAGCCACUGCUUGUGACCUUCGUCAGUGGGGUUGCAGGGACUUUUAGCUGACUGGGCCCGUCCGCUGCUUGUCUGCGUGAUAGCGGGGGCCGAGAAAAUCAAUAGCAGACUGCACACGGAGAAGUCCUGGUUCCAUGUCAUCGGACGCGGGUUCGAUUCCCGCCACCUCCACCC
This 220-nucleotide transfer-messenger RNA is filed under the name Cellulomonadaceae bacterium. Its description in RNAcentral is "partial transfer-messenger RNA". It matches the Rfam family "transfer-messenger RNA", at positions 141 to 374 of the family's 374-position model. Rfam says of the family: Bacterial tmRNA, also known as 10Sa RNA or SsrA, is named for its dual tRNA and mRNA-like properties. Its role is to liberate the mRNA from a stalled ribosome. Lineage: Bacteria; Bacillati; Actinomycetota; Actinomycetes; Micrococcales; Cellulomonadaceae. The record is from RNAcentral.